RNAcentral lists this ribosomal RNA (63 nucleotides) under Pestalotiopsis mangiferae. RNAcentral describes it as "partial 28S ribosomal RNA". Lineage: Eukaryota; Fungi; Ascomycota; Sordariomycetes; Amphisphaeriales; Sporocadaceae. The record is from RNAcentral.
UUGACCUCGGAUCAGGUAGGAAUACCCGCUGAACUUAAGCAUAUCAAUAAGCGGAAGGAACUA